This 972-nucleotide ribosomal RNA is filed under the name Triticum aestivum (bread wheat). Its description in RNAcentral is "partial small subunit ribosomal RNA". Lineage: Eukaryota; Viridiplantae; Streptophyta; Magnoliopsida; Poales; Poaceae. The record is from RNAcentral.
AUGCAUGCUUGGUGGCAUGACAAAAGGAGUGCUAACUGGUAUAACUCAAAGGAGCCAGCACCCACCGUCUCACAGUUUGCUAAAAUGAAUACAUACUAUAUGAUGUCCGUGUCCUCAAACAUUCCUAUUUUUCUAGAUGCAGAGGCUGAGAGGACAUGCGACAAGCCCUUUGGAAGCCCAAGAAUAUACUCCAAUUGUGGCUUGGAGUCAAUAGUGUUGCAAACUAGGAAUGGAAGGCACCAGAAUGACAUGAGAUCUGCGGCGAAGCAAUACUCAAGCUGGCAAUGGGGAUUAUGCAACCGGGUACUGGACUCCCAUCCCCAUGCCCGUGACAGCCAUCCAUCCUCAUCCUCAUCCUCAUCCUCAUGCUCAUCCCCAUACCCGCCUAUGGGGAUAAAAAGUUUCCCAUCCAGCGGGGAUAAACGAGAGCUUUGCAUGCAUGUCUCUCUACAUGUAGUUGUGUAUAGGAACCUCGCCAUCAUCAAAUCUGGAAAGCCCAAAUCUAGGGUUUCCCCUGGGCAUACAGGGAACACGAAUCUCCGCAUACGCGUCCAACAAGAUCUCCACCGCAACUGCAUGCCAGAGCCACGGUGGAGGAAGGCCCUACUGCCGCCAUCCUCCCCACCUAGGCUUUUCCCCACGAAGCUCCGCCAGCGGCAAGGAGAGGGGCGUUGGUGGCUAGAAGCCCCAGAUUGGGUCGGGAGGGAGGAGAUCGGGAAGGAGGUGGGUGAAUUUCAUGCAGUUGUCAAUUGUAGCAAGGCACGCGCCCUAAGAUUUGAACUUCGAAAGAGGUGGUACCUACCCUCGGAAAAGUCCCUCAAGUAUGAAAAGGAGCUUGCCCAAUCCAUGGAUACUGAAGAUGGAUGCAAAGGCAAAGCUGAUCUGUUCCCCGAGGAACAGUCUACACCAGGAGGUGUUAGAGAAUUGAAUGAGUGGAUGUCGCCCCCGGCCCUAUCGAGACCUGGAAGAUGA